GAUGAAAGAGAAAUAAGGAAAACAAAAAAAAAAGAAAAAAAGAAAAAUGAGUUAUAGGAAUCGAAAUGGUUUAAUCAUCUUCCAACAGUGAUGAUUGACAUAGCUACUUCUAGGCCUGCAAGUAGAUGGUAGGGAUGUUUUGGUCAAUGAAAACAGUGAAUCAUCAAGUGUGUUAAGUCUCAAAUUGGAGCCUUCAUUAGAGAUAAAAUUAAAUAUUUGGUUAGCUGGAAAAUACGCUUCGUCUUCUCUCCUCUCCUGAAAUUCGUCUGAACGUGUAAGUUCCCACGAUCAGUGCGUGGUGGCUCUAUCAGCACCGGCACUGGUCCCAGUCUCUAUCAGCAGCGGCGCCGAUCCCAAUCUAUGUCCUUCUUCCUAUGUGCUUGGUUGUAGUUUGAUUCAUGACCGAUACUUCAAUUUGAGAGAUAUGCUUCGAGCAAAUCAACGAAAUUCCAGAUUUAUUGCAGAUAAUUAAUAAAAAGGUUCGGAUCUGGUGAUUAACAGGGUGGCCUAGCUACAAAGCUUUUGUUAUACAAAUCUCACUCUAGAUCUGGUUAGUUUUGUUGUGUUGCAUAUCUCUGGACUUCUUGUGUGGAUCUCUCUAUUUUAGGUUUAACUAAAUGGGUAGAGGUUUCUAUGGAUUCCUACUAUCCGUCUUCAUGCCGGCCGUUGCCUUUGUUCAUUGUGCUCCAGAUUAAGUGGAUGUAGCUCCUAGUUGCUUGUUCAGAUCUUGUGAAGAUUUGAUUUCGUUGUGGCUUCGUUCAUUAGCGUUUAUCAGUCGUAUACGACUCAGCCGUGUGUCCGAAGGUUGACAGAAUCUGAAGGAUUCUUCCCUGCCUAUUUGUGAAGUUUGUGUUACUUGGCUCUGAGGUGUUUCCUCGUUGUACUAGGAAUGAGUGGUUUUUCGGUGGUUUGGCGAGGGGAAUUCACGUUAAACAAUUUUCAUAGAUUUUCUAUCAUUUGGAUUUCUCUGUUUUGUUGAGAAGACUACCAAUUGUCUACGAAUAUUGUUGCUUAGUUUGUUUGUCCGUAUAGUUGUUCUGGUUUGUUGUUGUUUGGGGUUUAUGUAUCCUUUUAUGGGUUUUAGGUUCCGGAGAUAUUGUGUUGUCUGCCGGCUUAGUUAACCAUGGACAUUCCUUCGUCUGAUGGUUAUGUAUCAGUUUCAUCUCAUCUAUAUAAUCAGUUGACGAAAAAUA
Long non-coding RNA from Raphanus sativus (radish), 1193 nucleotides. RefSeq lists it as uncharacterized. The record is from RefSeq and is a predicted model, not a curated record. NCBI's taxonomy places the organism in Eukaryota, Viridiplantae, Streptophyta, Magnoliopsida, Brassicales, Brassicaceae. The transcript is spliced from 2 exons.